CUGCCCGCCACCGCCACCGACGAGUUUCAACAUGGGGAAUCAAGUUCUCUGGGCUUGCAGAGAGGAGAUGGGCGGGUUGGGCUUUGUAUGGCGAUGUGAAAACCAGAUGGGUCUGGGAGAGACAGCGAAAGGAGCGAACCGUUUCAGGAGGAAUACGGGAGGAAGACAAUUAUUUGCAGAGGUGUCAGGAACGAGUUUGGACUUUUAACUGAGGGCCAUUGGAAACUACUGAAGAGUUUUAGGCAGCAUAAGAACUACUAGAUUUUCAUUGUGGGAGGAUCCUCAGCAGCAGCCUCAGAAAGGAGAUUGGGGAAGGAGAUCCCUAGUCAGGGAGACCAAGAAGACUACUGGAAAAAAACAGGGGAAUCCUCAAGGACCUGCAAACAAGAAACCAAAUCCCCCCACUCCCCCCAGCCAAAAUGUGUUCAUUUUGACCAGCUGUGUGUGUGUUUUAAAUUAAAAGUUUGAAUUAGAAAGCAAGUAGGAUAAAUUUAUAUACUUAGAUGUAUAAAUUUAAAUACCUGGCCCCUGAAGCACUUCUGAUAGGUCUCAGCUACCCAAACAAGAAGAACGGAAUCUUUGAAUCCCCAGGACUCAACGCAGUACUGGACACAAAAUGGGAGCUGAAAAAGUGUGUGUGGAGUCAGUGAAGGAUGCAAUUUCCCCUCAUUGUAGAGAUGAAGAAGCUGAGGCUGCAGAGUAGAAUAGGAGCAGACAGUGGGGAUUGUCUUCAAAGUAGGUUCCUAGUUCCUGGCUCAGAGGUCCCAGUUUUUGUUGACCAUGGACAGUAAAACUCCCUGGGGAAGCGGGCCCAGUCUCAGGAGAGCAGUUUUGAUUGGUCUAAGUUUGUGAUUGACUUAGGAACUGUCUGGCCAAUGAAAUAUGAGGGAAAGCCUGGGGGAUUCUGGGAAAGGUUUUGUAAACCAAAAAGUAUUUGAGACAUGUCUCAAUUUUAGAGGAUUAUUUUGCCAAGGUUAAGGACCAUUGCCCAUACAGCCUCAGGAGGCCCUGAGAACAUAUACCCAAGGUGGUUGGGGUACAGCUUCAUUUUAUACAUUUUAGGGAGUCAGAAGUUACAGGCAAAGACAUAAAUCAAUACAUGCAAGGUAUACAUUGGUUUGGCCCAGAGAGGUGGAACAUCUAGAAGCAGGAGCUUCCAGGUCAUAAGUGGAUUCAAAGAUUUCCUGAUUGGCAGUUUGUUGACAGAGUUAAGCUCCGCCCCAAGAGUUGAUGUCAGCUUAAAUUAAGGUAAGGGGGUGCUUUGUGGAAACCAACGUUCUUAUCAUGUAUAUGAAGCCUCCAGGCUUCAGCGAGAAUAGAUGUGAAUGUCUUUUAUUGGACCUUAAAAAUUGUCAGACUUUCUGGAAAAGACCUAAUAAGGGAAUCUUUACAGAACAUAAUUUUUUCACCCACAAGUGACAGCUUGGCAGGGCCGUUUCAAAAUAUGUAAAGAAAUAUAAUUUGAGGUAAAAUAAUUUGAUUUCCUUCAGGGCCCACUGGCUGUCACGUGAUGUUAUACCAGAGUCAGAUUGGAAUCUGUUGUCUUACUGCUACCAAGAUUUUGUCUUGACAGUCUUAAGAUUCCUGUUUUAAUGUCAGUUCUGGUCAGUUGUGUCUAAACUCAAAAGGAAGGAGGGUAUAAUGAGGCAUGUUUCACCCCCUCUUUCCCAUCAUGGCCUGAACUAGUUUUUCAGGUGUUUUUUUGAAUCCCUUUGGCCAAGGGGGAUCCAUUCAGUCAGCUGAGGGGCUUAGAAUUUUAUUUUUGGUUUAUAGUUUCCUCUUGAUUAAAGAAGGAAGUCUGCAAUGUGGGUUUGUAACCUAGUUUUUAAUAACUUUACAUCAGACUUGUAAUUUAUUGUUACUUUCUGAAGACACACUGAU
RNAcentral lists this long non-coding RNA (1881 nucleotides) under Homo sapiens (human). Its description in RNAcentral is "HSALNT0359193". The record is from RNAcentral. Lineage: Eukaryota; Metazoa; Chordata; Mammalia; Primates; Hominidae.